RNAcentral lists this ribosomal RNA (356 nucleotides) under uncultured bacterium. Its description in RNAcentral is "bacterial SSU rRNA". It matches the Rfam family "Bacterial small subunit ribosomal RNA", at positions 1026 to 1382 of the family's 1533-position model. The record is from RNAcentral.
ACGCUAGUACAGGUCGGUGCAUGGCUGUCGUCAGCUCGUGUCGUGAGAUGUUGGGUUAAGUCCCGCAACGAGCGCAACCUUACCCUUAGUGUUUUCCCGAAAGGAGUUACCCUCUAAGGGGACUGCCCCGGACAACCGGGGAGGAAGGUGGGGAUGACGUCAAGUCCGCAUGCUCCUUACGUCUAGGGCUACACACGUCCUACAAUGGGGUCGACAGUGGGAUGCAAAGCCGCGAGGUGGAGCCAAUCCCCAAACGGCCUCUCAGUUCGGAUAGUAGUCAGCAACUCGACUACUUGAAGUCGGAAUCGCUAGUAAUGGCGGAUCAGCAUGCCGCCGUGAAUACGUUCCCGGGUCUU